This 1609-nucleotide long non-coding RNA is filed under the name Homo sapiens (human). RNAcentral's name for it is "HSALNT0002772". Lineage: Eukaryota; Metazoa; Chordata; Mammalia; Primates; Hominidae. The record is from RNAcentral.
AGGCCAACACCACACUCACCCGCUGGUCAAACGGGCUGCCUGGCUCUCAGACUUGUCGUCGGCUGCUGGGGGACAGACUCCUCCCCACCCUGACUGCCUCGCCUCUGCACAGGCCAUUUCCACAGCCAGGGAUGCCUUUUCUGCUUCCAUCAAUGCACAGCCACCCCUUCCUUCAAAACGGAGGGGAGACCACGCCCCUGGAGACACCUCCACACCCCUCUGUUCUCACCACGCAGGCCCUAAGGCGGCAUUGAAUGCAGUCUGGAGUCAAGAACUCAAGUUCAAAUCCUGGCUCAGACUCUUUGCUGUGUGACCUUGGGCAAGUCCUGGCAUCUCUUUGAGCUUCAGCUUUCUCAGGACCAAACCCACGGUGAAGGUACGGUGAUAUCGCGUUGGACCCCAGCGGCAGCCCUGCCCUUCCCGCUGGGCCCCACCUGCCUGUCCCUUCUCCAUGUUCCCACCCGCUUGGGUCUCACCUCCCGGAUCAGCUGCUUCUCGGCCUCCACGUCAUGCUGGAUCACAGGUUGGGGCAACAGCUUCUCCUCCACCUGCACAGGGUCUGGGGGCACCUGCCUGGACAGCAGGGCUGGGGGAGAAACAGAAAUUAGCAGCCAGGAUGAGGGGCACAUUGUGUGCAGGAACUAAGCAGAAAUCUAUAAAAAGACGACCUCAUGGUCAUUCAAGAAGACUUUAAAGUAUUCAGCUUAUUUCAAACACAUCUCCAUGUAAAAGGCUGUUAGUCAUCCAACAAAUAUUUAUGGAGCACCUCGAUGUUCCAGACUCUGAGGAUGCGGCAUUGAACAAAGACAAAAACUCCACACCCACGCUGAGUUUUCCACUGGGAAAAAGAGGAGAAAAGCAGAUGGACAAGGAGAUUAGGUACCCCACGAGGCACAGCCUGCAUCUGAUUCAUCUCUGUGUAUCCAGUACCCAGCACGUGUCCACACAGAGGAGCAGCUCAGGGAACCUUCAGUGGAUAGAUGGGUAGGACUCCAUUGCAGGGAACCGAGUCUGAGGAAAUGACUCUCAGAUGAGAAAAAGCUUUGUGCACACAGAUGUCCAUCGUGGCAUGACUUGCAGCACUGGGAAACUGGAAACCAAUUGUCAAGGACCGGUUGGAAAAUGGCAUGAGCCAGGCCACCACACAUGGUCAUGAAGACACGGUGACAGUAAAGUGCAGAAAUGCUUAGUGACAGCAAGGGAGAUGGAACCAGGGGAAACCUACAUGGCGUAAGAUUUCAGUUAUGUUUAAAACAUUCACAGGAAAAAAGGAUCAAAAGAAAAUAUGGGCUGGGCGCAGUGGCUCAUGUCUGUAAUCCCAGCAGUUUGGGAGGCUGAGGUGGAUUGCUUGAAUCCAGGAGUUCGAGACCAGCCUGGGCAACAUGGCGAGAUCCUGUCGCUACAAAACAUAAAAAUUAGCUGGGUGUGGUGGUGCAUGCCUGUAGUUCCAAGCUACUUGGGAGGCUGAGGUGGGAGGAUUGGUUGAGCCUGGGAGACCAAGGUUGCAGUGAUCUGAGAUUGCACCACUGCACUCCAGCCUGGGCAACAGAGCUGUCUCAAAAAAAAAAACAAACCAAUGUGUAUGUGUGUGUGUGUGUGUGUGUGUGUG